Molecule: RNA transcript, 1693 nt
Organism: Salvia miltiorrhiza (redroot sage)
Lineage: Eukaryota; Viridiplantae; Streptophyta; Magnoliopsida; Lamiales; Lamiaceae
Exons: 4
Source: RefSeq, a predicted model, not a curated record
ACGGAAUUUAAUUCCCGCCGUAAAUCCGUCACGAAUCCGUCAAGAAAUUUUAAUUUCUUAAAAUAUUACUUUUUUUUAUUCGCCCGUCGAGAAUCUGUCGACAAUUAUUAAAUUUAAUUCAAAAUUUCGGUGCCCGUCGACAAUCCGUCGAGAAAGUUAUUUUUUUAAUUAUUUUUAAUAUUUCGAUUUCCCGUCGUGAAUCCAUCGAGAAUAUUUUUAAUACUGAAUAGUAUGUGUAUGUCCUCCCCAAAGUUCAGUUCGUCUACGCCAUUUCCCCCAAACUCAUUUCAGUUGCCCUACGCCAUUGCCGGAGUCCGCUGCCGCCGUUCGCCACCUGCCGGAGUCGAUCUGCUGCCUCUCUCUCCCUCGACGUUCACCAUCGAUCUUUCCCGUUCGUCGCGCCGUCCGCCGAAGUCCCUUGCUUCUGUCUGCCGCCGCCUCGCCCACUGCUGUACCUCCUCUCUCUCUCUCUCUCUCAAAUUUGAAAGGUGCCUUCAAAGUUAAUUUUCUGAUUCUGAUUUCUGAUCUCCGCCGGCUAUGGUUCCGUCAAUUUUCUGUAUCGCCAAUGAGGAAGAAAUCCCAAGAAUAGGAAGUGUCGUAUGACACAUUAAAACACAGCAUUUUUAUAGCUUGUGAUUGUCUGCUGAUUUGAAGUCUUUAGAGACAAUUGAUGCUAGUUAUUAUGGUGGUCUUCUCAGUAUAUCCUGCACAUUAAAACAUUUUCACAUUCUCUGUAAUGAGUUUUUUUUUUCUUACAUCAAAGGACAUGCCCCCAACUAUGUGUGGUCACUGCUCAUGAGAUUGAAUGAUUUAAGAACAAGCUCAUGAGAUUGUAUGCUGCAGAAUAGGCGAAAAGGUGAGAGACCGGGUGAGGAAUCAAAGAUCAGUUGCAGUGAGCUUGCUUCUACUAUAAAUGAUGGCCUCUACUUUUAUGAGCAGUAGAUGAGGAUGAUGAAGAAGAUGUUGACACCAAUGAAGAUGUUGCUCGGGAAAAGAAUAUCCCGGUUGACUGUGCUGCGUAUGAUACAUUUCUACGCAUACACCGGAAGGGAGGAUUAUACAUUGGCAUACGUUCCGAGGCACACGCGGUGGAGAUUGAGAGUCGCAUUCAAGAUAUUCAAGCCACUCAGGGUAGGGAUCCGACACCAGAAGAGGUACACGCCAUCUUUAAGGAGGUGGUGAAGAGGGACACGAAAGGCCGUGUGCUCGGGAUGGGAAUGAUGACACAUAUGGUGUCUAGUGGAUCUAGUACUCAGUCCACUAGCACGUCUCAGACUGCCCCUGCUGCUUCUCUUGAGGAGGUCGAGGCGCUAAGAGCUGAAGUGAAUGCUCAGGCUUCUAGAGGGAACAACCUCGAGGCACGUAUCCUGGAGCAAGAUGGCACCAUUAAUGAUCUCAAGAGUAUGUUGGCGGAGUUGAUGGCAAAUAUGAAGAAGGGUCAUAAUCCUUGAUACUUUUUAUGAAGUUUGAAUUUAUGUUGUGUUGAGUUUGGAUUUAUGUAGUAACUAUGGAGUUAGAAUUUAUGAUACUUGAUAUUUAACUUAAUUUAGGUAUGUUGAAUUUGGAUGUUUAGUAAGUAUGUUUGACUUUGGAUGUUUAGUAAGUAUGUUUGAAUUUGGAUGUCUAGUAAAUAUGUUUGAAUUUGGAUGUUUAUUAUAAGUAUAUUUGAAUUUGAAUAUUUUAUAUUGAUUUU